UGGGGAAUCUUCCGCAAUGGGCGCAAGCCUGACGGAGCAAUGCCGCGUGAGUGAAGAAGGCCUUCGGGUUGUAAAACUCUGUCCUCAUCCAAGAGAAGGAAAGGUAGUAACUGACCUUUCCAGGACGGUAGAUGAGGAGGAAGCCCCGGCUAACUAUGUGCCAGCAGCCGCGGUAAAACAUAGGGGGCAAGCGUUGUCCGGAAUCACUGGGCGUAAAGGGCGCGCAGGCGGUCUGUUAAGUCAGAUGUGAAAGGUUAGGGCUCAACCCUGAACGUGCAUCUGAUACUGGCAGACUUGAGUAUGGAAGAGGUAAGUGGAAUUCCUAGUGUAGCGGUGAAAUGCGUAGAUAUUAGGAGGAACACCAGUGCCGAAGGCGACUUACUGGGCCAUAACUGACGCUGAGGCGCGAAAGCGUGGGGAGCAAACAGG
Molecule: ribosomal RNA, 429 nt
Filed under: Verrucomicrobiota bacterium
Lineage: Bacteria; Pseudomonadati; Verrucomicrobiota
Description: Verrucomicrobia bacterium partial 16S ribosomal RNA
Rfam family: Bacterial small subunit ribosomal RNA
Source: RNAcentral